CACGUAGGGCGCAAGCGUUGUUCGGAUUCACUGGGCGUAAAGGGUGCGUAGGCGGUCAGGUAAGUCUGAUGUGAAAUCUCUGGGCUUAACCCAGAAACGGCAUUGGAUACUAUUUGGCUUGAGAGUUGGAGGGGGGACUGGAAUUCUUGGUGUAGCAGUGAAAUGCGUAGAUAUCAAGAGGAACACCAGUGGCGAAGGCGAGUCCCUGGACAACUUCUGACGCUGAGGCACGAAAGCUAGGGGAGCAAACAGG
RNAcentral lists this ribosomal RNA (253 nucleotides) under uncultured bacterium. RNAcentral describes it as "partial 16S ribosomal RNA". It matches the Rfam family "Bacterial small subunit ribosomal RNA", at positions 524 to 776 of the family's 1533-position model. The record is from RNAcentral.